This 920-nucleotide ribosomal RNA is filed under the name uncultured archaeon. RNAcentral's name for it is "bacterial SSU rRNA". It matches the Rfam family "Archaeal small subunit ribosomal RNA", at positions 1 to 923 of the family's 1478-position model. The record is from RNAcentral.
UUUUCCGGUUGAUCCUGCCGGAGGUCACUGCUAUUGGAGUUCGAUUAAGCCAUGCGAGUCGAUAGUUCCUCGUGAACUAGGCGGACUGCUCAGUAACACGUGGGUAAUCUAACCUCAGGUCAGGGAUAACCCCGGGAAACUGGGAAUAAUACCUGAUAGGUGAAGUGGUCUGGGAUGAUACUUCGCUUAAAGCUACAGCGCCCGAGGAUGAGCCUGCGGCCGAUUAGGUUGUUGGCGGUGUAAUGGACCACCAAGCCUUUGAUCGGUACGGGUGGUGAGAGCCAUAGCCCGGAGAUGGGGGCUGAGACACGGCCCCAGGCCCUACGGGGCGCAGCAGGCGCGAAAACUACGCAAUGCGCGAAAGCGUGACGUGGGAACUCCAAGUGCCUUGCCUUAGGGUAAGGCUUUUGUUUAGUAUAAGUAGCUAAAUGAAUAAGGGCGGGGUAAGACCGGUGCCAGCCGCCGCGGUAACACCGGCCGCCCAAGUGGUGACCGCUUUUAUUGGGCCUAAAGCGUUCGUAGCCGGUUUAGUAUGUCUUUGGGUAAAUCCUUCGGUUCAACCGAAGGAAUUCCGGAGAAACUGCUAGACUUGGAGUUGGGAGAAGUCAGAGGUACCUCUAGGGUAGGGGUGAAAUCCUAUAAUCCUGGGGGGACCACCAGUGGCGAAGGCGUCUGACUAGCGCAAGCUCGACGGUGAGGGACGAAAGCCAGGGGCGCGAACGGGAUUAGAUACCCCGGUAGUCCUGGCCGUAAACGCUGCGCGCUAGGUGUUGCAUGCUCUACGAGGGCGUGCAGUGCCGAAGAGAAGUUGAUAAGCGUGCCGCCUGGGAAGUAUUACCGCAAGGUAGAAACUUAAAGGAAUUGGCGGGGGAGCACCACAAGGGGUGGAGUCUGCGGUUCAAUUGGAUUCAACGCCGGGA